UGUGUGUGUGUGUGUGUGUGGUUGAGUCAGAAUAAACUACGGUGUGUUCAUGUUAAUGAAGGAACAACAAGAGGCUCAUUAAUGUGUUCUAUCGGAGCUUAAAGUUAUCAGGCCGUGAUGCUCAGAUGAACGUGUUAGUGGGUGUUUUUCGUUGGAUUAGUCGUUGAGUGUGUUCUAUUACUAAAGAUGUGUAUCAGUGCAUCACACUUGUGUUGUGUUGUCUCCUAUAGUUUGAUCUCAACCCUGUCCUCUUACUUGAAACAUCACAUAGGUUGCCAUCAGCCCAGAUUCCUCCUCAUGUAACGCUUUUAUUAUUAUACCAAUAUUAUACCUGUGAAUUAUUCUCAGCAGUACCAGCUUUAUUUUAGUUUAUUUUCUUCUGUAGAUGAGCUUUAACUGAAUAGACUUUCUGUUUUUUUCCCAUUCACGAAACAAAAAUGAAAUAUUAUUAAGAACUAUGUGAUAUUGUGAUGAUUCGUUUACAACUAUUUUGUUGCAUUCAUGCUUUGAUAAUUUUUUAUAACAAGGACACUUCUUUGGUCACUUUAAUGUCAUUUCGAGAAGCGACCAGACAGUUAAUCGGAUAAACUAAAGUCAAAUGAUUUCUCUAUAACUUCUCUAUUCUGUUAAGUGGAUGUGAUGAUGUCAUGAUGAGGUUUGAUGGGACAUUGUGUCACAGUUAAGCCAUGAACGAUGACCCUGUGAAGGUGAUGAAUCAGCGGAUUAAGACUGAUGGAAAAAAAACAGAGACUUUGUUUACAUGGAACAAAUGUUCUGGUUUAUUUAUCCUCAUUUUGAAAAAGACAAUGUUCCUAAUAAGCUGUUCGUAAACAGGAAAGAGUUUGUGUGUCACAAACUGUGGUAAAAAAUCAGUAGGGUUCAUGCUCUGGGGAACAUGAAUGUAAAUGCAAAGUUUAAUGGCAAUCCAUCAAAUAUUUGUUGAGAUAUUUCAGACUUGACCAAAUGAAUGGAUCCAAUGCAUAAUAAAUAAGAUAAAUAGGAUGCAUUGUUAUACAGUAAUAUAUAUAUACAGUUGCAGUUAAUACUUGUAAUUUUUGAGUAAGUACAUUUUUAAAACUACUGCGAUACAAAGACCGAAAAACCAAACCUGAGCUCACCGACUACAUCUGAUCUACAAGUACAGGGCGGAUGAAUAAACUGUAGUUCGCCAAGAAAUAGUUCCAGCACAUUAUUCUCCCUAAUUGUACAUUUAUGUCUAAAAAAAACACGUUUUCAAACAAGAUAAAUCAUGUUAACUGGUGAGAUUAUGAGGACAGAGCCGGGCUGGCUGUUUCUCCCUGUUUACAGUCUCUAAUGCUAAGCUAGGCUAACCGCAUCCUGACUUUCUGAAUACAUGCAGCGAGGACAGAGUGGACUGGAGUGUGUGUGUGUGUGUGUGUGAGUGUGUGUGUGUGUGAAUAACAGCUUUAUGCUCCGGUGAUGGUGCGUGUGGAUUAACCAGGAUCAGAUAUGCCUCGUUAAUCCCUACCUCUGACCCCACCAGCAGGAAGUGAAGAUCUCCAAUCAGAGUGUAGGAUGCUGUCAGGUGCUCGGUUUAACACGCCACCCUUCACUAACCCUCAGAACCGACCGUACUAUAAGCAUCCUAACAGCAAGCAGAGCACUGAGAAUACACACUUGCUCAUAUUCAGGUCAAAUAACUGAGAAUAAUAAUUAAUAAAGAAUAUAAUGAAAUAGAAAUAAAGAUGAGUUAAUGUUGUGUGGAAGUGUGAAUCAUUGUAAUGCUGUCUGUUUCCUGUCACCUGUUAAUCACUUGAUCUGAAGAAAACUGAUGCUUUGUUGGAACUUUUGUUGUACUGCGUUCAGGUAGUGUAGGAAAGAGGAAGCUAUUUAAAUGCACCUGUAAAUAUAUGAAUAUUUAUUUUACAGUUAUAAUUGUUAGGUUCAAAUUCAUGUCGUUUUAAAGGGCCUUUAAACAGAAGGGUGACCCCAGCACUGACAUUAGACAUUGUUAUUACUUAAAAUCUCACAAAACAAAUUCAUGUUUUAUGAUGCUGUUAGAGAUUUGUUUAUGUCAAACUGUUUUACUACAUUAUAUUCUGAAUCAUAUUUAUAUUAGAUCUCCAUAUUAAUACAGACAAACACUAAGGAGCAUUGCUUAUUCUUGUUAAGUACUAAUAAUCAUAUUAUAUAAACACCUUUAACAUAUACUCGACUUGCUGACUCUGUUCACACCGCUUUCACUUUUGUCUCUUAAUUUUUUCGUUUCGUUUUGACUUUAAUUGAUCUUGUAUAUCUUCUAUUUUUACUUCUAUUAUAAGUUGGUUUUACACACCUCUUAUAUUUAAUUAUUUUUACUACAUCUGUACAUAUUUCUGUCCUUGUUCUGCUGCAACCACUAAAUUGACCUCAUUAAAAGCUCAUUUGAUCCUUGUUUUUUUCUGUCAGCGAACACAGCACAAGCUCAUUUAUUAAUAUAUGAAUAUGCCUGUCAUUUAUUUAUUCAUAGCUGAAGAAUAAAGCAGGUUGGAGCUGCUCAUUCUGAUUAUUUUUUUUAGCAAUAACACGUUAAUUAACUAACCACCACUGCAGAAGCACAAAUUCGCCAUAUUAUAUAUCAAUAUAUGUCAACUUUCCGACAGCACUUGAAGGCAUCACCUCCGGUAAUUCAUCUCGACGUCUGGACUCGUGAAGAUUAUUGUCGACACCCCUCUGUCACAGAUGUCACUCCUCUGAUUGGACAAGGAUCCUGAUCCCGCCUACUAGCUGUUUGAUUGACAGGGCCGCCGACUCGUCGCAGCGGGUGAACGGGGCAGUCAUCUAACUUGUGAUUGGUGGAUCGGUCAGGAUUUAUAUGAAUGGCAAUUUGUAUUGUUCGACGUCUUCGCAACACAGUUGCAACUUUGCGGUUUCCAACUCCGAGAAAGUCCGUUUAAUAUUUAUAUGUAUUAAUAUUUACCCGACCCACGCGGUGUCGGCCAUGAAGAGGAUUUAGAAACAUAACAAGUUGUUUUUAACAUUGCGUCGACUGUUGAGCGUAAGUUUUCUUCUGCUUGUGUUGUUUAAACUCUAUUGUUAAUAGUCUGAGCUCAUCUGUAUCUUAUAUGCUGUGUUUAUAAAAGCAGGUGUUCGUUAUGAUAGGAGUAUGAAUGACCCGUUAUAUCUUUUAGCUGACGUUUACUUUUGGUUCCCGUUUUCCUUUCUUUAGUUCAGCUUGCUUUGAGACUCUUUGUGUCCUCUGUGUCUAAUCUAUUUCAGGAGCAGUUUGUGGUUCCGUUUCAUCGGAUUUGACGAACAUUAAAUAUCUUUUGAAUCGGUAGAAUCUAUUGUUCAGUUCGGCUUACAUGUAAAAAACAACAACAACAUUAUUGUAUAUCAGUAAACUUUGAAUUUAUUAUCUUGAUUUUCCUAACUUGAUGUUUUUUUUCUCAACUAAGACGAGCACAGCCAAAGAAGCUGAGCUUUGAUCUGAAGGAUAGUGAUGCCGAACUAACAGCUGUGUUGGUGUGACCGGCUGGAGAUGGAGAUGGGGGAUCCAGAGCCUCCAGGGUUUGGGUCCCUGGAGGAAGAGCUGCAGUACUGGAAGGACCAGGCUGCCCGACAACAACAGAGUGCGGAGGAGGCGCAGGAGGAGCUGCAGGAGUUUCAGCAGAUGAGUCGGGACUACGAGGUGGAGCUGGAGGCGGAGCUUAAACAGUGUGAGGCGCGAAACCGCGAGCUUCUGUCCGCCAACCACCGCCUCCGCAUGGAACUGGAGAACCACAAGGUACAAUAGGACGUCAUCGGUUAGAAACCAAGACACUCCCACUGGAGGUGGUGGAGAUAUACGAGUCUUGUAGUGUGUAGUGUGUAGUCCUUGUCUACGUUUACACGCUCACUAAUAUUCCAUGUUUACUCCGAAUAUGAUACCCGUCACGUAAACAGCAUCAUUAGGUCUUCUUUCAAAUGGAGCAUUUUUUCCGGUAAAGACAUGUGGGAUCUGCUGAUGUUAUUCAAGUUGUAGGAACAUUCUUUGAACAUACAGCACAUUUAGAACAUGCGUUGUACACAAUUAUAUACAGUUAUACACAAACCAGCUGCCAACAGUUUGCAGAGAUGCACAACAGAGAAGCUCACAUUUCUGGUCGGAAGGAGAAACAAACUAAUACCUUUCUAGUAGAGACCUGUCAAU
This is a long non-coding RNA of Anarrhichthys ocellatus (wolf-eel), 4132 nucleotides long. RefSeq lists it as uncharacterized. The transcript has 3 exons. The record is from RefSeq and is a predicted model, not a curated record. Lineage: Eukaryota; Metazoa; Chordata; Actinopteri; Perciformes; Anarhichadidae.